Molecule: ribosomal RNA, 382 nt
Filed under: uncultured eukaryote
Lineage: Eukaryota
Description: SSU rRNA
Rfam family: Eukaryotic small subunit ribosomal RNA
Source: RNAcentral
AGCUCCAAUAGCGUAUAUUAAAGUUGUUGCAGUUAAAAGCUCGUAGUUGAAUUUCUGGUGGGAGUGUACAGUCCGACACUGAGUGUUGGUUCUUGUAUGUCUCCGGCCAUCCUUGGAGUGAAUCUGUCUGGCAUUCAGUUGUUGGGCAGAGUAUCUCCAUCGUUUACUGUGAGGAAAUGAAAGUGUUCAAAGCAGGCUUACGCCGUUGAAUCUUUUAGCAUGGAAUAAUAAGAUAGGAUCUUGAUACUAUUUUGUUGGUUUGCGUGUUAAGAUAAUGAUGAAUAGGGACAGUUGGGGGUAUUUGUAUUCCAUAGUCAGAGGUGAAAUUCUUGGAUUUGUUAAAGACGGACUACUGCGAAAGCAUUUGCCAAGGAUGUUUUCA